AGAGGAUGAUCCGCCACACUGGUACUGAGACACGGACCAGACUCCUACGGGAGGCAGCAGUGAGGAAUAUUGCGCAAUGGAGGCAACUCUGACGCAGCCAUGCCGCGUGCAGGAUGACAGCCCUACGGGUUGUAAACUGCUUUUCUGCAGGAAGAAUCCUCCCUACGUGUAGGGAGUUGACGGUACUGCAGGAAGAAGCAUCGGCUAACUCCGUGCCAGCAGCCGCGGUAAUACGGAGGAUGCAAGCGUUAUCCGGAUUCAUUGGGUUUAAAGGGUGCGCAGGCGGAUAUGUAAGUCAGAGGUGAAAGCCCACAGCUUCACUGUGGAAUUGCCUUUGAUACUGCAUAUCUUGAGUCUGGUUGAGGUAGGCGGAAUGUAGUAUGUAGCGGUGAAAUGCAUAGAUAUACUACAGAACACCCAUUGCGAAGGCAGCUUACCAAACNAGCACUGACGCUCAGGCACGAAAGCGUGGGGAGCAAACAGGAUUAGAUACCCUGGUAGCCCACGCCGUAAACGUUGAUCACUCGUUGUUGGCAAUACACCGUCAGCGACUAAGCAAAAGCAUUAAGUGAUCCACCUGGGGAGUACGAUCGCAAGGUUGAAACUCAAAGGAAUUGACGGGGGCCCGCACAAGCGGAGGAGCAUGUGGUUUAAUUCGAUGAUACGCGAGGAACCUUACCCGGGCUUAAAUGUAGGGUGCAUUGGUGUGAAAACACCAUUUCCUUCGGGACUCCCUACAAGGUGCUGCAUGGUUGUCGUCAGCUCGUGCCGUGAGGUGUCGGGUUAAGUCCCAUAACGAGCGCAACCCCUAUCUUUAGUUGCCAGCAGGUAAAGCUGGGGACUCUAAAGAAACUGCCCGCGCAAGCGGUGAGGAAGGUGGGGAUGACGUCAAAUCAGCACGGCCCUUAUGUCCGGGGCUACACACGUGCUACAAUGGCCGGUACAGUGGGCAGCUAAUGCGCGAGCAUUUGCUAAUCUCUAAAACCGGUC
RNAcentral lists this ribosomal RNA (990 nucleotides) under uncultured Bacteroidota bacterium. Its description in RNAcentral is "bacterial SSU rRNA". It matches the Rfam family "Bacterial small subunit ribosomal RNA", at positions 295 to 1287 of the family's 1533-position model. The record is from RNAcentral. Lineage: Bacteria; Pseudomonadati; Bacteroidota.